AUGAGUCAAGAACUGACGGGCACUUGACAACGUUGAAAGAGACUAAGAUCGAUAAAAGUGCAGAGAAAGAUUGUGAAAGUGAAGAAGACAGUUGUUUGUCAUAUGAAGAAGACAGUUUUUUGUCAUCAUUAGAAACAGAAUCUGGAACGGAAUGUGAUGUACCGGAUCUUCCUGCUGCCCAGGCAAAGAGUUAUUUACCGAGCGAAAGUACGUCAAAGUCAGCCGGUGUAGAAUACAUAUCGUAUGAAACAUCCAGUAAAGCCCAAGUUGAUUCUGGCAGUAGGGACACACUACAGACAAUUGCCCUGCUGGAGAUAUACAAGUCACAAAGAGCUAUAGCCCACUACCUUGAAUUGGCAUAUCUUUCAUUCUAUGACUACCCAGACAUCGAAAAUGAGGUAUUAACAUCAUCGCAGUCUGUUAAGGAAAAACAUCGAAACAGAGCUGACAGUGAAUGGUAUGGCUUAGUCAAUGAAUUAAAC
Mercenaria mercenaria is the source of this 482-nucleotide long non-coding RNA. RefSeq lists it as uncharacterized. The transcript has 3 exons. Lineage: Eukaryota; Metazoa; Mollusca; Bivalvia; Venerida; Veneridae. The record is from RefSeq and is a predicted model, not a curated record.